GCUGGAGGCGGAAGAAAGAGAAAACCCAAAAACAAACCCUAAGCUACGCGUCUUGCCGUCUUCGACAUCUUCCUUAAUUCUUCCUCUUCGACAUCUUCGUGACCUUCGUCUCCAGUCCAGUCCGUUCCUCGUUCCUCCGGCUCCUUCCUCCGUUCCUCGUCCAGUCCGCCAGCCACUGACUGCAAUUCAAGUUGACAAGUUGCUUCGUCUUCGACUUCGAUAAUCGAUCCGCAAAUCGCAAUCCAGGCUCCAGCAAAUCAGCAAUCGACGCUUCCUCUUCCUCUUCAAGUUGCUUCAGACUUCAGUACACUUCGUCUUCUUUCUCAAGUUGAGCUUCUUCAUUUGAGUUUAAUAAUGAAAGUGGUACUCAAUUUGGUGGUGGUAUCCUGCAUAUAAGCCCAAGUGAGUAACAAUGGUUAGGAUUAGUGUGCUGAAUGAUGCUCUCAAGACAAUGUACAAUGCUGAGAAGCGAGGGAAGCGCCAAGUUCUGAUUAGGCCCUCAUCCAAAGUCAUCAUCAAGUUUCUACUUUUCAUGCAAAAGCAUGGUUACAUCGAUGAGUUCGAGUAUGUUGAUGAUCAUCGUUCUGGAAAGACCUUCGAUGGGUGCCGGAGCUUGAGUUUCGUCGGGAUUAGAAGAUGGAAGUGAAGAGUUUCCGACAUUUAUGUUUUGGAUGAAUGAUGAUGAAAAGAAAUUGUUUUGCCAAACCAUAAAAAAUGAUGAUGAAAUUGAGCCGUAAAAGAACAUAUUUAGAAUUUUGUGUCGCUUUUGGAAACAUUUUGUGAACUUGUUUGUUCGAUACUUUUUAGACGUAAUGAUGUAUAGGUGAAUAUUUGGUUGCACUAGGUUAUGGAAGAAUUGAUCCUUAGUUUUUGAUAUAACAAGUUAAUCGUGUAAAUUUCUUAACUAUAAUAUUUGUAAUCAAAUUUCUAAUUACAUCUUAUGCUAUCAAUUAUUAAAAUUAUCAUUUGCUUAGCUUUUUCAUUAAAGACUUUUUGCAACGGUAUUGUGCGACCAAGAGAAACUGUUGCCAAA
Molecule: RNA transcript, 1033 nt
Organism: Amaranthus tricolor (Joseph's coat)
Lineage: Eukaryota; Viridiplantae; Streptophyta; Magnoliopsida; Caryophyllales; Amaranthaceae
Gene name: 40S ribosomal protein S15a-1-like
Exons: 4
Source: RefSeq, a predicted model, not a curated record